CACGCCCUAAACGAUGGACACUGGUUGCUUGAAGUGUCGACCCUUCAAGUGGCGAAGCUAACGCGUUAAGUGUCCCGCCUGGGAAGUACGGCCGCAAGGCUAAAACUCAAAGGAAUAGACGGGGGCUCACACAAGCGGUGGAUCAUGUGGCUUAAUUCGAUAACAAACGAGUAACCUUACCUGGCUAAGACGCCCGACGACGUCUCCGUGAAAGCGGAGUUUCCCACAAGGACGGCGGGACAGGUGC
This 247-nucleotide ribosomal RNA is filed under the name uncultured bacterium. RNAcentral describes it as "partial 16S ribosomal RNA". It matches the Rfam family "Bacterial small subunit ribosomal RNA", at positions 796 to 1041 of the family's 1533-position model. The record is from RNAcentral.